RNAcentral lists this ribosomal RNA (366 nucleotides) under uncultured bacterium. RNAcentral describes it as "bacterial SSU rRNA". It matches the Rfam family "Bacterial small subunit ribosomal RNA", at positions 147 to 507 of the family's 1533-position model. The record is from RNAcentral.
CCCGGGGGAAACCCGGGCUAAUACCGCAUACGCUCUACGGAGGAAAGCGGGGGACCGCAAGGCCUCGCGCUACUGGAGCGGCCGAUAUCAGAUUAGGUAGUUGGUGGGGUAAAGGCCUACCAAGCCGACGAUCUGUAGCUGGUCUGAGAGGACGACCAGCCACACUGGGACUGAGACACGGCCCAGACUCCUACGGGAGGCAGCAGUGGGGAAUUUUGGACAAUGGACGCAAGUCUGAUCCAGCAAUGCCGCGUGCAGGACGAAGGCCUUCGGGUUGUAAACUGCUUUUGUACAGAACGAAAAGGCUCUGGUUAAUACCUGGGGCUCAUGACGGUACUGUAAGAAUAAGCACCGGCUAACUACGUG